CAACAGGGAUUGCCUUAAUUAACUGCGAGUGAAGCGGCAAAAGCUCAAAUUUGAAAUCUGACGUUUUUGACGUUCGAGUUGUAAUUUGGAGGGAUAUCUUCGGAGCUGGCACCGUCCUAAGUUCUUUGGAACCGGACAUCAUAGAGGGUGAGAAUCCCGUGCCUGGAUGGCUGUCAAGCUCCAUGUGAAGUGUCUCCGACGAGUCGAGUUGUUUGGGAAUGCAGCUCAAAAUGGGUGGUAAAUUUCAUCUAAAGCUAAAUAUUGGCGAGAGACCGAUAGCGCACAAGUAGAGUGAUCGAAAGAUGAAAAGCACUUUGAAAAGAGAGUUAAAUAGUACGUGAAAUUGUUGAAAGGGAAGCGCUUGAGACUAGAUUCGGCCGGUGGUGAUCAGCCAUGCUUUUGCGUGGUGCACUUGCCGUCGGUUGAGCCAGCAUCGGUUCUGAUGGUGGGAUAAAGGUUCGAGGAAUGUGGCUCCCCAAUUGCGGGGAGUGUUAUAGCCUGGAGCGCAAUGCCACCUGUUGGGACCGAGGACCGCGCUUCGGCUAGGAUGCUGGCGAAAAGGUCU
RNAcentral lists this ribosomal RNA (565 nucleotides) under Otidea tuomikoskii. RNAcentral's name for it is "LSU rRNA". It matches the Rfam family "Eukaryotic large subunit ribosomal RNA", at positions 66 to 640 of the family's 3401-position model. Lineage: Eukaryota; Fungi; Ascomycota; Pezizomycetes; Pezizales; Pyronemataceae. The record is from RNAcentral.